AAAACGCAAACGGAAUAUCAAAAAUUGUUGUGAUGUGAUAUUUUUUCGAUGAACUUUUAUUUAAGGGUUACACCAUAUCGAGAAGUUAUCCAAUGAGAAAGCCGCUUAAAUUUUGUCUGAGUCCGGUCUUGGACUAAUGAAACGCCUUUGUGCCAGAGUGGACUUCAUUUUUUAAUUAGAAAGUCAACACACCCGCACACACAGACAUACGUGCAUGAGCCCGAGAAUCCUUAAUCGAAAAGUGCUGCCAUAUGGAGAGGCGCCUUUGUAAGGACGGCAGGACUCCAUCCCCUCAGCUCUGUGCUUGUUUGCUUUUGUUUAUUUGUGUGCUACUUAAGAUGAAAUGGCAAAGAAAACUGACGUUGGAUGCCAGAUGCCAGAAAGAGACGAACAAAUGGGCGAAUGAGCUGGCCCGUGUCCGUUUCAAUUUCUCCUACCAAGUCAGUCCUGGUCCUUCACGCAGACAUUUUCUUUGAGUUUCCUCCUUGCUGCUGCCGCUGCUCCUGAUUCUACUCCUGCCGCUGCUGCAGCUAAAAAUAAAAAAUUGAAAGAAAAAGGCAAACAGACUACUAGUCUGAGUUAGAGGAACGAGUGCAACAGCAACGGCCGAGGCAGAGACAGCGGCAGCGGCGGAAACGGAAAUUGCUGAAGUUGCAUGUGUAUGUCCUCCUACAUAUAUACGCGUACUUAUGUGUGUGUAAUGAUGCGCCGUGUUAUCCUUUUGCUGACAGCAGACGCCGCUAGUUGUUGCAUUUACAAGCAGGCUGCAAUUAUUUUCAGCUUAGGCGACAAAAUAGAAGGAAGCAAGUCUUAAGCAUUUUCCAUUUCCCAGACUCGUUAUUAUCCAGCUCGAUGCCACAUAAAUGAGUUUGUUGCUGUUCCUACUUCUAUGCUUAGAUGUUUCUUUUUUAUUAUGCUGGCAUAUACUAAAUAUACCCAUAUCAUAAAAGAGAUUCAAAUAUAA
This 964-nucleotide small RNA is filed under the name Drosophila ananassae. RNAcentral describes it as "GF26848". Lineage: Eukaryota; Metazoa; Arthropoda; Insecta; Diptera; Drosophilidae. The record is from RNAcentral.